This 2107-nucleotide ribosomal RNA is filed under the name Campylobacter coli. Its description in RNAcentral is "partial 23S ribosomal RNA". It matches the Rfam family "Bacterial large subunit ribosomal RNA", at positions 980 to 2925 of the family's 2925-position model. Lineage: Bacteria; Pseudomonadati; Campylobacterota; Epsilonproteobacteria; Campylobacterales; Campylobacteraceae. The record is from RNAcentral.
GCAGUCAGGCGGCGAGUGAUAAAAUCCGUCGUCAAGAGGGAAACAACCCAGACUACCAGCUAAGGUCCCUAAAUCUUACUUAAGUGGAAAACGAUGUGAAGUUACUUAAACAACCAGGAGGUUGGCUUAGAAGCAGCCAUCCUUUAAAGAAAGCGUAAUAGCUCACUGGUCUAGUGAUUUUGCGCGGAAAAUAUAACGGGGCUAAAGUAAGUACCGAAGCUGUAGACUUGCGCACAACUUAGAUUAUUUAAGUUUAGAAUAUGAGAAACUAAGUUAUAUGUUUAGUUAUAUUUUUACUGAUUUUUAUAGAGUAAAGAUAGAAAUAAAACUUAGUAAAAUCAGUAAAAAUAUUCUUAGACUAAAGUUAAGUAGUUUAAGUUGUGUGCAAGUGGUAGGAGAGCGUUCUAUUUGCGUCGAAGGUAUACCGGUAAGGAGUGCUGGAGCGAAUAGAAGUGAGCAUGCAGGCAUGAGUAGCGAUAAUUAAUGUGAGAAUCAUUAACGCCGUAAACCCAAGGUUUCCUACGCGAUGCUCGUCAUCGUAGGGUUAGUCGGGUCCUAAGUCGAGUCCGAAAGGGGUAGACGAUGGCAAAUUGGUUAAUAUUCCAAUACCAACAUUAGUGUGCGAUGGAAGGACGCUUAGGGCUAAGGGGGCUAGCGGAUGGAAGUGCUAGUCUAAGGUCGUAGGAGGUUAUACAGGCAAAUCCGUAUAACAAUACUCCGAGAACUGAAAGGCUUUUUGAAGUCUUCGGAUGGAUAGAAGAACCCCUGAUGCCAUCGAGCCAAGAAAAGUUUCUAAGUUUAGCUAAUGUUGCCCGUACCGUAAACCGACACAGGUGGGUGGGAUGAGUAUUCUAAGGCGCGUGGAAGAACUCUCUUUAAGGAACUCUGCAAAAUAGCACCGUAUCUUCGGUAUAAGGUGUGGUUCGCUUCGUAUUAGGAUUUACUCCGAAAGCGAAGAAACUUACAACAAAGAGUCCCUCCCGACUGUUUACCAAAAACACAGCACUCUGCUAACUCGUAAGAGGAUGUAUAGGGUGUGACGCCUGCCCGGUGCUCGAAGGUUAAUUGAUGGGGUUAGCAUUAGCGAAGCUCUUGAUCGAAGCCCGAGUAAACGGCGGCCGUAACUAUAACGGUCCUAAGGUAGCGAAAUUCCUUGUCGGUUAAAUACCGACCUGCAUGAAUGGCGUAACGAGAUGGGAGCUGUCUCAAAGAGGGAUCCAGUGAAAUUGUAGUGGAGGUGAAAAUUCCUCCUACCCGCGGCAAGACGGAAAGACCCCGUGGACCUUUACUACAGCUUGACACUGCUAUUUGGAUAAGAAUGUGCAGGAUAGGUGGGAGGCUUUGAGUAUAUGACGCCAGUUGUAUAUGAGCCAUUGUUGAGAUACCACUCUUUCUUAUUUGGGUAGCUAACCAGCUUGAGUUAUCCUCAAGUGGGACAAUGUCUGGUGGGUAGUUUGACUGGGGCGGUCGCCUCCCAAAUAAUAACGGAGGCUUACAAAGGUUGGCUCAGAACGGUUGGAAAUCGUUCGUAGAGUAUAAAGGUAUAAGCCAGCUUAACUGCAAGACAUACAAGUCAAGCAGAGACGAAAGUCGGUCUUAGUGAUCCGGUGGUUCUGUGUGGAAGGGCCAUCGCUCAAAGGAUAAAAGGUACCCCGGGGAUAACAGGCUGAUCUCCCCCAAGAGCUCACAUCGACGGGGAGGUUUGGCACCUCGAUGUCGGCUCAUCGCAUCCUGGGGCUGGAGCAGGUCCCAAGGGUAUGGCUGUUCGCCAUUUAAAGCGGUACGCGAGCUGGGUUCAGAACGUCGUGAGACAGUUCGGUCCCUAUCUGCCGUGGGCGUAAGAAGAUUGAAGAGAUUUGACCCUAGUACGAGAGGACCGGGUUGAACAAACCACUGGUGUAGCUGUUGUUCUGCCAAGAGCAUCGCAGCGUAGCUAAGUUUGGAAAGGAUAAACGCUGAAAGCAUCUAAGCGUGAAGCCAACUCUAAGAUGAAUCUUCUCUAAGCUCUCUAGAAGACUACUAGUUUGAUAGGCUGGGUGUGUAAUGGAUGAAAGUCCUUUAGCUGACCAGUACUAAUAGAGCGUUUGGCUUAUCUUUAAUAAAGCAU